CACUACCUGUCACAGUAUAGAGGAUGGCCAUGCUUGAAGUCAUUACCAUUAGCCAUAAGGAGGGGGAUGCCUAAGGCUAGGCUUGCGACUAGAGUGAAGUCGUAACAAGGUAGCCAUACUGGAAGGUGCUA
This 131-nucleotide non-coding RNA is filed under the name Triticum aestivum (bread wheat). Its description in RNAcentral is "Bacterial small subunit ribosomal RNA". It matches the Rfam family "Bacterial small subunit ribosomal RNA", at positions 1388 to 1520 of the family's 1533-position model. Lineage: Eukaryota; Viridiplantae; Streptophyta; Magnoliopsida; Poales; Poaceae. The record is from Rfam by way of RNAcentral.